GUCGAGCGAUGAAGCCCUUCGGGGUGAAUUAGCGGCGGACGGGUGAGUAACACGUGGGUAACCUGCCUUAUAGAGGGGAAUAGCCUUCCGAAAGGAAGAUUAAUACCGCAUAACAUGUUUUUAUCGCAUGGUAGAAACAUCAAAGGAGCAAUCCGCUAUAAGAUGGACCCGCGGCGCAUUAGCUAGUUGGUGAGGUAACGGCCCACCAAGGCGACGAUGCGUAGCCGACCUGAGAGGGUGAUCGGCCACAUUGGAACUGAGACACGGUCCAGACUCCUACGGGAGGCAGCAGUGGGGAAUAUUGCGCAAUGGGGGAAACC
Molecule: ribosomal RNA, 320 nt
Filed under: Clostridium sp.
Lineage: Bacteria; Bacillati; Bacillota; Clostridia; Eubacteriales; Clostridiaceae
Description: bacterial SSU rRNA
Rfam family: Bacterial small subunit ribosomal RNA
Source: RNAcentral